CCUCUCUAAAUGUCUUGUAGAAUUCAGCAGUGAAGCCAUCAGGUCCCAGGCUUUUCUUAGUUGAUUUAUUUUACCAGUCCAUAAGAAACAAGGAUGGGGCUCACCAUGUCACUGGAUCGAAAUGAUAUCGCACAAGUUGUUUAUUGCUAUGUUUCAUUUUCUCAGAAGAGAAUUCCAUCCUUCUCCUUGGGAUGCCGCAAUUGGAGGGUGUGGACCCCGAAAUCCUGGAGGCCUUUGGUAGCUCUUGCACCUUAGGGUUCUGCACCGCGAGCGCGCGAAGCCCACACCUCCACCCUGCCUCCUGAAGCGGAGCGGCUGCUCUCUAUCCUGGCUCUGCAGACCUCCAUUCAAUAGGAAGCCUUGAGGCCAGCAGCUGCCCGCUAAGGCAGGUGACUACCAAGUGACAUUUGACGUUAUUCAUCCAUUUCUCUCUCUACACAGAGAUGGGGGAAGGGAGGCGGUGGAGCGGAGGGCGUGGAGAAGACUCAGGGCGGACGGGAAGCAGCAGUGCAGUGCGCCCCGGAAUCGCACCUCUCUGCAGCCCAGCGGCUGCCCAGGCUGCCCCCACCAGCCAGGCGCCUCGUCGCAAUUCCCCAGCUGUCUGCUCGCUACCUGCCUGGCUCGCCCGCUCAGAGCUGCUCCCCUGGGCCUCUCUCCAGCUCGGCAGUGGGCUGCGUCAGCAUCACGCCACACCGUCUCCGUUGGCCCGGCGAUCAACGCCUGACGGCCGGCCCUCUCUCCCCUCUCCGCUGGGGCCAAUGGGAGUCCGGGGAAGGUUUUGGUUACAAAUGAAAAUAAAAUAAAUAAGUCAUACUCCCGCACUCAGGAG
This 829-nucleotide long non-coding RNA is filed under the name Heterocephalus glaber (naked mole-rat). RNAcentral's name for it is "lncRNA (ENSHGLG00000048132.1)". The record is from RNAcentral. Lineage: Eukaryota; Metazoa; Chordata; Mammalia; Rodentia; Bathyergidae.